Molecule: ribosomal RNA, 253 nt
Filed under: uncultured bacterium
Lineage: Bacteria
Description: partial 16S ribosomal RNA
Rfam family: Bacterial small subunit ribosomal RNA
Source: RNAcentral
UACGAAGGGUGCAAACGUUGUUCGGAUUUACUGGGCGUAAAGCGCACGUAGGCGGAUCGUUAAGUUGGGGGUGAAAUCCUGGAGCUCAACUCCAGAACUGCCUUCAAUACUGGCGAUCUAGAGUCCGGAAGAGGUGAGUGGAACUCCUAGUGUAGAGGUGGAAUUCGUAGAUAUUAGGAAGAACACCAGUGGCGAAGGCGGCUCACUGGUCCGGUACUGACGCUGAGGUGCGAAAGCGUGGGGAGCAAACAGG